AAUAAUUAUCCUGUUCUAGUGUUUUCCUUUAUCACUCCCCACUAUGUUGUUUCAUCUCCUACUUUUUCUCCUUUCGAAAAAAUAUCCUUAAUUGUUUCCUCUUAAUUCUCCAGCCAGCUUGUUUGAUAACCGUGUGAUUCAAUUGACAUUUAAUUCCGCCGAAAAUACUUAAAUUUUCCUCAUACUUUCUCUUUGCAGCAGCCCAAUGAAACCCUAUUUUUUUUUCCCUUUUAACUCCUUGCAGCCAUGCCUAUAUCUCUCUACCAGAGAUGUGUUCUCGAAAACCUAAAUCUUUAUUAAUGUGGAACUCUCCUCAAUUCGAAUUACAGAUGGCGCUAUCCCCCUUUUCUCCUAUUUAAGGUCCAUCAGAACCAUCUUAUUGGAAAGUCUCUAUAGGGACUAUAGUAGGGAGUGGAGAAGGACUGCCCUGUUCAAGGUUAAUUACAUUGCAAAUAUUUGUUCAUAGAUAUCUGAUUUUGCUCUCAAUUCAAGCAAGCCACAAAACAUAUGAGACCAGUACUCAUGGAGGUUUUUCUCUUUUCAUUAUAUGUAUAUAUAUUCAUCUGAAGUUGAGGAAUGAGUUUGAGAGUGAAGUUAGGAAGAAAAUGGAAAUGAUGAUCUAGAUGAUUAUGUUUGUUCAUGUCAAGUUAGCUUACAACUUCAUGUAGCCCUAUUUGAUCUACUGUUUGUUUCUAUUUGAGCUGGAAUGAAUUCAAUAUCAUCUUAGCAUGAAUGUUUUUCAAAUAUAAGAAAGAA
Lotus japonicus is the source of this 756-nucleotide long non-coding RNA. RefSeq lists it as uncharacterized. The record is from RefSeq and is a predicted model, not a curated record. Lineage: Eukaryota; Viridiplantae; Streptophyta; Magnoliopsida; Fabales; Fabaceae. The transcript is spliced from 2 exons.